UGCCAUUGCAUACCUGAUCCAGUCUUUG
This 28-nucleotide non-coding RNA is filed under the name Mus musculus (house mouse). The record is from RNAcentral. Lineage: Eukaryota; Metazoa; Chordata; Mammalia; Rodentia; Muridae.